Molecule: long non-coding RNA, 327 nt
Organism: Sorex fumeus (smoky shrew)
Lineage: Eukaryota; Metazoa; Chordata; Mammalia; Eulipotyphla; Soricidae
Exons: 3
Source: RefSeq, a predicted model, not a curated record
CGCGGACGUGCCCAUGGUGCCCGCCUGGAUGGUGCCGCUCGCUCGCUCGCUCCGCACAACAAGUUACCAGCCCUCGCAGAGGAGGAAGGAGAUCAAUAUAUUGUUCGCCCAGGAGAGCUGCUGUGAUGAAGAGUUCAGGAAUCAUGGACAAAGAUGCAAUGCCUGAGAGUGCAGCAGACCUCUUGUGACCGGGUGUGACAAGCACCAGAAGAAAGUUAUGCUAGGAACAGAAAGCGCAAAGGAGAAAGAGUCAACGUGUCAGCAUGACUGAGCUGCCACAUGGACACUAGCCUGUUUACCUCCCUAUUUGUUCUGACUUGCGCCAAA